CCUACGGGAGGCAGCAGUGGGGAAUAUUGGACAAUGGGCGAAAGCCUGAUCCAGCCAUGCCGCGUGUGUGAAGAAGGCCUUCGGGUUGUAAAGCACUUUCAGUGGGGAAGAAAGCCUUGGGGCUAAUACCCUCGAGGAAGGACAUCACCCACAGAAGAAGCACCGGCUAACUCCGUGCCAGCAGCCGCGGUAAUACGGAGGGUGCGAGCGUUAAUCGGAAUUACUGGGCGUAAAGCGCGCGUAGGCGGUCUGAUAAGCCGGUUGUGAAAGCCCCGGGCUCAACCUGGGAACGGCAUCCGGAACUGUCAGGCUAGAGUGCAGGAGAGGAAGGUAGAAUUCCCGGUGUAGCGGUGAAAUGCGUAGAGAUCGGGAGGAAUACCAGUGGCGAAGGCGGCCUUCUGGACUGACACUGACGCUGAGGUGCGAAAGCGUGGCUAGCAAACAGGAUUAGAUACCCUGGUAGUC
This 465-nucleotide ribosomal RNA is filed under the name Vreelandella stevensii. Its description in RNAcentral is "partial 16S ribosomal RNA". It matches the Rfam family "Bacterial small subunit ribosomal RNA", at positions 338 to 795 of the family's 1533-position model. The record is from RNAcentral. Lineage: Bacteria; Pseudomonadati; Pseudomonadota; Gammaproteobacteria; Oceanospirillales; Halomonadaceae.